This 26-nucleotide non-coding RNA is filed under the name Rattus norvegicus (Norway rat). Lineage: Eukaryota; Metazoa; Chordata; Mammalia; Rodentia; Muridae. The record is from RNAcentral.
UGACUCGGCAGCUUUGGAAACCUUGA